AUGGCUCAGGAUGAACGCUGGCGGCGUGCCUAACACAUGCAAGUCGAACGGAGUAAUUAAGCGGAAGUUUUCGGAUGGAAGCAUAGUUACUUAGUGGCGGACGGGUGAGUAACGCGUGGGCAACCUGCCCUGUACCGGGGGAUAACACUUAGAAAUAGGUGCUAAUACCGCAUAAGCGCACAGCUUCGCAUGAAGGUGUGUGAAAAACUCCGGUGGUACAGGAUGGACCCGCGUCUGAUUAGCUAGUUGGUGGGGUAGAGGCCUACCAAGGCGACGAUCAGUAGCCGGCCUGAGAGGGUGACCGGCCACAUUGGGACUGAGACACGGCCCAAACUCCUACGGGAGGCAGCAGUGGGGAAUAUUGCACAAUGGGGGAAACCCUGAUGCAAGCGACGCCGCGUGAGUGAAGAAGUAUUUCGGUAUGUAAAGCUCUAUCAGCAGGGAAGAAAAUGACGGUACCUGACUAAGAAGCCCCGGCUAACUACGUGCCAGCAGCCGC
This 499-nucleotide ribosomal RNA is filed under the name uncultured bacterium. RNAcentral describes it as "bacterial SSU rRNA". It matches the Rfam family "Bacterial small subunit ribosomal RNA", at positions 19 to 518 of the family's 1533-position model. The record is from RNAcentral.